ACUCAAAGGAAUUGACGGGGACUCGCACAAGCGGUGGAGCAUGUGGUUUAAUUCGACGCAACGCGAAAAACCUUACCAGGUCUUGACAUCCCUCUGACCUCACUAGAGAUAGUGAUUCCCUUCGGGGCAGAGGAGACAGGUGGUGCAUGGUUGUCGUCAGCUCGUGUCGUGAGAUGUUGGGUUAAGUCCCGCAACGAGCGCAACCCUCAUUGUUAGUUGCUAACAUUAAGUUGAGAACUCUAACGAGACUGCCAGUGACAAACUGGAGGAAGGUGGGGAUGACGUCAAAUCAUCAUGCCCCUUAUGACCUGGGCUACACACGUGCUACAAUGGCUGGUACAAAGAGUUGCGAAGCUGUGAAGUGAAGCAAAUCUCAAAAAACCAGUCUCAGUUCGGAUUGUAGUCUGCAACUCGACUACAUGAAGAUGGAAUCGCUAGUAAUCGUGAAUCAGAAUGUCACGGUGAAUACGUUCUCGAGUCUUGUACACACCGCCCGU
Molecule: ribosomal RNA, 497 nt
Filed under: uncultured bacterium
Lineage: Bacteria
Description: bacterial SSU rRNA
Rfam family: Bacterial small subunit ribosomal RNA
Source: RNAcentral